Molecule: ribosomal RNA, 497 nt
Filed under: uncultured bacterium
Lineage: Bacteria
Description: partial 16S ribosomal RNA
Rfam family: Bacterial small subunit ribosomal RNA
Source: RNAcentral
GAUGAACGCUGGCGGCGUGCCUAAUACAUGCAAGUCGAGCGAACAGACGAGGAGCUUGCUCCUCUGACGUUAGCGGCGGACGGGUGAGUAACACGUGGAUAACCUACCUAUAAGACUGGGAUAACUUCGGGAAACCGGAGCUAAUACCGGAUAACAUGUUGAACCGCAUGGUUCAACAGUGAAAGACGGUCUUUCUGUCACUUAUAGAUGGAUCCGCGCCGCACUAGCUAGUUGGUAAGGUAACGGCUUACCAAGGCAACGAUGCGUAGCCGACCUGAGGGGGUGAUCGGCCACCCGGGAACUGAGACACGGUCCAGACUCCUACGGGAGGCAGCAGUCGGGAAUCUUCCGCAAAGGGCGAAAGCCUGACGGAGCAACGCCGCGUGAGUGAUGAAGGUCUUCGGAUCGUAAAACUCUGUUAUUAGGGAAGAACAAAUGUGUAAGUAACUAUGCACGUCUUGACGGUACCUAAUCAGAAAGCCACGGCUAACUACGUG